RNAcentral lists this ribosomal RNA (640 nucleotides) under uncultured bacterium. RNAcentral describes it as "bacterial SSU rRNA". It matches the Rfam family "Bacterial small subunit ribosomal RNA", at positions 29 to 676 of the family's 1533-position model. The record is from RNAcentral.
ACGAACGCUGGCGGCAGGCCUAACACAUGCAAGUCGAGCGAGAAAAUUCCUUCGGGAAUGAGUAAAGCGGCGGACGGGUGCGUACAACAUGGAUAACCUACCCUAAGGUCUGGGAUAACCUCGGGAAACCGAAGCUAAUACCGGAUAAGACCACAUUAUCUGCGGAUGAAGGGGUAAAAGUUUUUCGCCUUUGGAUGGGUCCAUGCUCCAUCAGGUUGUUGGUGAGGUAAAAGCUCACCAAGCCUAAGACGGAUAGCCGGCCUUAGUGGGUGAUCGGCCACACGGGGACUGAGACACGGCCCCGACUCCUACGGGAGGCAGCAGUGGGGAAUAUUGGGCAAUGGGCGCAAGCCUGACCCAGCCAUGCCGCGUGAGGGAUGAAGGCCUUCGGGUCGUAAACCUCUGUCAGGAGGGACGAUGGGACUUCGGUCUUGACGGUACCUCCAGAGGAAGCCCCGGCUAACUCCGUGCCAGCAGCCGCGGUAAUACGGAGGGGGCAAGCGUUGCUCGGAUUUACUGGGCGUAAAGGGUCCGCAGGCGGUUGGGCAAGUUAGAUGUGAAAGCUCAAGGCUUAACCUUGGAAUUGCAUCUAAAACUGCUCGACUAGAGUCCAAGAAGGGGUUGGCGGAAUUCCCGGUGU